UCUGCCGUGGGCGUUGGAUGUUUGAGAAGUGCUGCUCCUAGUACGAGAGGACCGGAGUGGACGCACCUCUGGUGUUCCGGUUGUCACGCCAGUGGCAUUGCCGGGUAGCUAUGUGCGGACGGGAUAACCGCUGAAAGCAUCUAAGCGGGAAGCCCCCUUCAAGAUGAGACAUCCCCGAGGCCUCGAGCCUCCUGAAGGGCCCAGCGAGACCAGCUGGUUGAUAGGCCGGAUGUGGAAGCGCUGCAAGGCGUUGAGCUAACCGGUACUAAUGGCCCGUGAGGCUUGACCAU
This 290-nucleotide ribosomal RNA is filed under the name Halomonas ventosae. Its description in RNAcentral is "partial 23S ribosomal RNA". It matches the Rfam family "Bacterial large subunit ribosomal RNA", at positions 2641 to 2925 of the family's 2925-position model. Lineage: Bacteria; Pseudomonadati; Pseudomonadota; Gammaproteobacteria; Oceanospirillales; Halomonadaceae. The record is from RNAcentral.